GGGUGAAAGCCUGAUCCAGCCAUGCCGCGUGGGUGAAGAAGGUCUUCGGAUUGUAAAGCACUUUCAGUUGGGAGGAAGGGCAGUAACCUAAUACCUUCGUGUUUUGACGUUACCGACGGAAUAAAAACCGGGUAACUCUGUGCCCGCAGCCGCGG
Molecule: ribosomal RNA, 155 nt
Filed under: uncultured bacterium
Lineage: Bacteria
Description: partial 16S ribosomal RNA
Rfam family: Bacterial small subunit ribosomal RNA
Source: RNAcentral